This is a non-coding RNA of Ceratobasidium sp. AG-Ba, 94 nucleotides long. NCBI's taxonomy places the organism in Eukaryota, Fungi, Basidiomycota, Agaricomycetes, Cantharellales, Ceratobasidiaceae. The record is from the annotation of a GenBank genome assembly.
GGCGAGAUAGCCAAGCGGUCUAAGGCGCUAGACUAAGGCUUAAAACCCUGAAAUCUAGUUCUUCGGAGCGUGGGUUCGAAUCCCACUCUCGUCA